UGGAAUUGUCAAGCUUUUGCAGGUGUCCGU
RNAcentral lists this non-coding RNA (30 nucleotides) under Rattus norvegicus (Norway rat). The record is from RNAcentral. Lineage: Eukaryota; Metazoa; Chordata; Mammalia; Rodentia; Muridae.